RNAcentral lists this ribosomal RNA (2159 nucleotides) under Salmonella enterica subsp. enterica serovar Enteritidis. RNAcentral's name for it is "partial 23S ribosomal RNA". It matches the Rfam family "Bacterial large subunit ribosomal RNA", at positions 663 to 2803 of the family's 2925-position model. The record is from RNAcentral. Lineage: Bacteria; Pseudomonadati; Pseudomonadota; Gammaproteobacteria; Enterobacterales; Enterobacteriaceae.
GAGCCGGAGGGAAACCGAGUCUUAAUUGGGCGUUAAGUUGCAGGGUAUAGACCCGAAACCCGGUGAUCUAGCCAUGGGCAGGUUGAAGGUUGGGUAACACUAACUGGAGGACCGAACCGACUAAUGUUGAAAAAUUAGCGGAUGACCUGUGGCUGGGGGUGAAAGGCCAAUCAAACCGGGAGAUAGCUGGUUCUCCCCGAAAGCUAUUUAGGUAGCGCCUCGUGAAUUCAUCUCCGGGGGUAGAGCACUGUUUCGGCUAGGGGGCCAUCCCGGCUUACCAACCCGAUGCAAACUGCGAAUACCGGAGAAUGUUAUCACGGGAGACACACGGCGGGUGCUAACGUCCGUCGUGAAGAGGGAAACAACCCAGACCGCCAGCUAAGGUCCCAAAGUCAUGGUUAAGUGGGAAACGAUGUGGGAAGGCCCAGACAGCCAGGAUGUUGGCUUAGAAGCAGCCAUCAUUUAAAGAAAGCGUAAUAGCUCACUGGUCGAGUCGGCCUGCGCGGAAGAUGUAACGGGGCUAAACCAUGCACCGAAGCUGCGGCAGCGACACUGUGUGUUGUUGGGUAGGGGAGCGUUCUGUAAGCCUGUGAAGGUGUGUCGUGAGGCAUGCUGGAGGUAUCAGAAGUGCGAAUGCUGACAUAAGUAACGAUAAAGCGGGUGAAAAGCCCGCUCGCCGGAAGACCAAGGGUUCCUGUCCAACGUUAAUCGGGGCAGGGUGAGUCGACCCCUAAGGCGAGGCCGAAAGGCGUAGUCGAUGGGAAACGGGUUAAUAUUCCCGUACUUGGUGUUACUGCGAAGGGGGGACGGAGAAGGCUAUGUUGGCCGGGCGACGGUUGUCCCGGUUUAAGCGUGUAGGUGUGUGUUCCAGGUAAAUCCGGUUCACUUUAACACUGAGGCGUGACGACGAGGCACUACGGUGCUGAAGCAACAAAUGCCCUGCUUCCAGGAAAAGCCUCUAAGCAUCAGGUAACAUCAAAUCGUACCCCAAACCGACACAGGUGGUCAGGUAGAGAAUACCAAGGCGCUUGAGAGAACUCGGGUGAAGGAACUAGGCAAAAUGGUGCCGUAACUUCGGGAGAAGGCACGCUGACACGUAGGUGAAGUGAUUUACUCAUGGAGCUGAAGUCAGUCGAAGAUACCAGCUGGCUGCAACUGUUUAUUAAAAACACAGCACUGUGCAAACACGAAAGUGGACGUAUACGGUGUGACGCCUGCCCGGUGCCGGAAGGUUAAUUGAUGGGGUCAGCGCAAGCGAAGCUCCUGAUCGAAGCCCCGGUAAACGGCGGCCGUAACUAUAACGGUCCUAAGGUAGCGAAAUUCCUUGUCGGGUAAGUUCCGACCUGCACGAAUGGCGUAAUGAUGGCCAGGCUGUCUCCACCCGAGACUCAGUGAAAUUGAACUCGCUGUGAAGAUGCAGUGUACCCGCGGCAAGACGGAAAGACCCCGUGAACCUUUACUAUAGCUUGACACUGAACAUUGAGCCUUGAUGUGUAGGAUAGGUGGGAGGCUUUGAAGUGUGGACGCCAGUCUGCAUGGAGCCGACCUUGAAAUACCACCCUUUAAUGUUUGAUGUUCUAACGUGGACCCGUUACCCGGGUUGCGGACAGUGUCUGGUGGGUAGUUUGACUGGGGCGGUCUCCUCCUAAAGAGUAACGGAGGAGCACGAAGGUUGGCUAAUCCUGGUCGGACAUCAGGAGGUUAGUGCAAUGGCAUAAGCCAGCUUGACUGCGAGCGUGACGGCGCGAGCAGGUGCGAAAGCAGGUCAUAGUGAUCCGGUGGUUCUGAAUGGAAGGGCCAUCGCUCAACGGAUAAAAGGUACUCCGGGGAUAACAGGCUGAUACCGCCCAAGAGUUCAUAUCGACGGCGGUGUUUGGCACCUCGAUGUCGGCUCAUCACAUCCUGGGGCUGAAGUAGGUCCCAAGGGUAUGGCUGUUCGCCAUUUAAAGUGGUACGCGAGCUGGGUUUAGAACGUCGUGAGACAGUUCGGUCCCUAUCUGCCGUGGGCGCUGGAGAACUGAGGGGGGCUGCUCCUAGUACGAGAGGACCGGAGUGGACGCAUCACUGGUGUUCGGGUUGUCAUGCCAAUGGCACUGCCCGGUAGCUAAAUGCGGAAGAGAUAAGUGCUGAAAGCAUCUAAGCACGAAACUUGCCCCGAG